UACUUUCAGAGUCGACAGGUUUCACCUAAGGCCAGCACUAAAGUCGACUUAUGGGCUGCUGCGUUAUAUGCAGAGCAAACGUUCAACUGGAA
This 92-nucleotide transfer RNA is filed under the name Shewanella piezotolerans WP3. RNAcentral's name for it is "tRNA-Ser". Lineage: Bacteria; Pseudomonadati; Pseudomonadota; Gammaproteobacteria; Alteromonadales; Shewanellaceae. The record is from RNAcentral.